Molecule: RNA transcript, 753 nt
Organism: Cyprinus carpio (common carp)
Lineage: Eukaryota; Metazoa; Chordata; Actinopteri; Cypriniformes; Cyprinidae
Gene name: exosome complex component CSL4-like
Exons: 9
Source: RefSeq, a predicted model, not a curated record
CUGUCGCUUCUUGAAAACAUGUCGCCCAUGAAGCUGUGUGUUCCAGUUCACGCAGGUGAAAGGCUCUGCAGCACCGAGGACUGUAUCCCCGGGACCGGCACGUAUCUGCGGCACGGCUGCAUCUUCGCUUCGCUCGCGGGAUACGUGCUGAGGAAGAACGAGGGAGAGGAGCUCCCGGUGAUUUCAGUCGUUAGAGAGACAGAAGCACAGCUUUUGCCUGACGUCGGUGCCAUUGUCACCUGUAAGGUGAUGAGUAUCAACCCACGAUUUGCUAAAGUCCACAUCUUAUAUGUGGGGUCGACACCGCUAAAAGACAGGUUUAGAGGCACGAUCAGAAGAGAAGACGUGAGAGCGACAGAGAAAGACAAGGUGGAGACGUACAAAAGCUUCAGGCCAGGCGACAUCGUCCUUGCAAAAGUGAUCUCUUUGGGCGACGUGCAGUCGAACUACCUGCUGACCACAGCAGAGAACGAGUUGGGCGUAGUUGUGGCCCACAGCGAGGCGGGCGCUCAGAUGGUGCCCAUCAGCUGGUGUGAGCAUGCAGAGAGGCACAGUGUGGCACGCACACACGCCAAAGAGUUUCGCAAGGUGGCACGGGUACAGCCGGAGUACCUGCAGGCCUGAGCCACGCCCACCACACCCGCUGACCACACCCACCGGAACACACAGUUUCAAAGACACGCCCCCUCGAGCAGAACUCCCAACCCAGUAACUGAUUGGAAUUCUAGGUGUGAAUCUGGAUUGUCAAGUGCC